GACGAACGCUGGCGGCGUGCCUAAUACAUGCAAGUUGAGCGCUGAAGGUUGGUACUUGUACCGACUGGAUGAGCAGCGAACGGGUGAGUAACGCGUGGGGAAUCUGCCUUUGAGCGGGGGACAACAUUUGGAAACGAAUGCUAAUACCGCAUAAAAACUUUAAACACAAGUUUUAAGUUUGAAAGAUGCAAUUGCAUCACUCAAAGAUGAUCCCGCGUUGUAUUAGCUAGUUGGUGAGGUAAAGGCUCACCAAGGCGAUGAUACAUAGCCGACCUGAGAGGGUGAUCGGCCACAUUGGGACUGAGACACGGCCCAAACUCCUACGGGAGGCAGCAGUAGGGAAUCUUCGGCAAUGGACGAAAGUCUGACCGAGCAACGCCGCGUGAGUGGAGAAGGUUUUCGGAUCGUAAAACUCUGUUGGUAGAGAAGAACGUUGGUGAGAGUGGAAAGCUCAUCAAGUGACGGUAACUACCCAGAAAGGGACGGCUAACUACGUG
Molecule: ribosomal RNA, 497 nt
Filed under: uncultured bacterium
Lineage: Bacteria
Description: partial 16S ribosomal RNA
Rfam family: Bacterial small subunit ribosomal RNA
Source: RNAcentral